This is a non-coding RNA of Parelaphostrongylus tenuis, 77 nucleotides long. The record is from the annotation of a GenBank genome assembly. NCBI's taxonomy places the organism in Eukaryota, Metazoa, Nematoda, Chromadorea, Rhabditida, Metastrongylidae.
GCGCCAGUAGUGCAGCGGGUUAAAGCACGCGCUCCCGGAUAGGGUGAGAUGCGGAUUCGAGUUCCGCCCCUAAUGCG